Molecule: ribosomal RNA, 469 nt
Filed under: uncultured bacterium
Lineage: Bacteria
Description: partial 16S ribosomal RNA
Rfam family: Bacterial small subunit ribosomal RNA
Source: RNAcentral
GACGAACGCUGGCGGCGUGCUUAACACAUGCAAGUCGAACGGUGAAGCGAGUGCUUGCACUCGUGGAUCAGUGGCGAACGGGUGAGUAACACGUGAGUAACCUGCCCAUCACUCUGGGAUAAGCACUGGAAACGGUGUCUAAUACUGGAUACGACCAACCCUUGCAUGGGGUGUCGGUGGAAAGAUUUAUCGGUGAUGGAUGGACUCGCGGCCUAUCAGCUUGUUGGCGGGGUAAUGGCCCACCAAGGCGACGACGGGUAGCCGGCCUGAGAGGGUGACCGGCCACACUGGGACUGAGACACGGCCCAGACUCCUACGGGAGGCAGCAGUGGGGAAUAUUGCACAAUGGGCGAAAGCCUGAUGCAGCGACGCCGCGUGAGGGAUGACGGCCUUCGGGUUGUAAACCUCUUUCAGCAGGGAAGAAGCGAAAGUGACGGUACCUGCAGAAGAAGCACCGGCUAACUACGUG